Molecule: long non-coding RNA, 169 nt
Organism: Panicum virgatum (switchgrass)
Lineage: Eukaryota; Viridiplantae; Streptophyta; Magnoliopsida; Poales; Poaceae
Exons: 2
Source: RefSeq, a predicted model, not a curated record
CGGUCAAACCGGACCGGUAAACCGGUCUAACCGGCCGGUUAGCCGUUCGAAACCGGUAUAACUACGGGUUUUGAAUUCAAAUUUGAGUUUGACCGGUUUUUACCGGUAACCGGUCAAACCGGACCGGUUAGCCGGAACCGGGCGCCGGCGGUUCGGUCCAAACGGUCGG